CCUACGGGUGGCAGCAGUGGGGAAUAUUGGGCAAUGGGCGCAAGCCUGACCCAGCAACGCCGCGUGAAGGAAGAAGGCUUUCGGGUUGGAAACUUCUUUUCUCAGGGACGAAGCAAGUGACGGUACCUGAGGAAUAAGCCACGGCUAACUACGUGCCAGCAGCCGCGGUAAUACGUAGGUGGCAAGCGUUAUCCGGAUUUACUGGGUGUAAAGGGCGAGUAGGCGGGAAAGCAAGUCAGAUGUGAAAACCAUGGGCUCAACCUGUGGCCUGCAUUUGAAACUGUUUUUCUUGAGUACUGGAGAGGCAGACGGAAUUCCUGGUGUAGCGGUGAAAUGCGUAGAUAUUAGGCAGAACCCCAGUGGCGAAGGCGGUCUGCUGGGC
RNAcentral lists this ribosomal RNA (382 nucleotides) under uncultured bacterium. RNAcentral describes it as "partial 16S ribosomal RNA". It matches the Rfam family "Bacterial small subunit ribosomal RNA", at positions 338 to 734 of the family's 1533-position model. The record is from RNAcentral.